RNAcentral lists this ribosomal RNA (700 nucleotides) under uncultured bacterium. Its description in RNAcentral is "bacterial SSU rRNA". It matches the Rfam family "Bacterial small subunit ribosomal RNA", at positions 59 to 767 of the family's 1533-position model. The record is from RNAcentral.
CAGUCGAGCGGGGUAGCAAUAUCCAGCGGCGGACGGGUGAGGAAUACAUAGGAAUUUGCCUUUAGGUGGGGGAUAGCUUGGGGAAACUCAAGGUAAUACCGCAUGAUGUCGCAAGACCAAAGUGGGGGAUCGCAAGACCUCGCGCCUUUAGAGAAGCCUAUGUCUGAUUAGCUAGUUGGUGGUGUAAUGGACCACCAAGGCUACGAUCAGUAACUGGUCUGAGAGGACGAUCAGUCACACCGGAACUGAGACACGGUCCGGACUCCUACGGGAGGCAGCAGUGGGGAAUAUUGGACAAUGGGCGAAAGCCUGAUCCAGCAAUUCCGCGUGUGUGAAGAAGGCCUUCGGGUUGUAAAGCACUUUAGGUUGGGAAGAAAAAAGUUCUUCUAAUACGAGAACUCUUGACGGUACCAAAAGAAUAAGCACCGGCUAACUCUGUGCCAGCAGCCGCGGUAAUACAGAGGGUGCAAGCGUUAAUCGGAUUUACUGGGCGUAAAGCGUGCGUAGGUGGUCGUAUAAGUCGGAUGUGAAAGCCCCGGGCUCAACCUGGGAACUGCAUUCGAUACUGUAUGACUCGAGUUCGGUAGAGGGUGGUGGAAUUCCCGGUGUAGCGGUGAAAUGCGUAGAUAUCGGGAGGAACAUCAAUGGCGAAGGCAGCCACCUGGGCCUGAACUGACACUGAGGCACGAAAGCGUGGGUA